GGUUUGUUUUAGUGAAGUAACUGCUGCCAGUAAUGCAGUCCGACAGAUGCAAAACUUCCCAUUUUAUGUAAAACCUAUGAGAAUUCAAUAUGCAAAAACAAAGUCAGACUGUGUUGCUAAAGAAGAGGGAAGCUUUGUUCCAAGGGAAAAGAAAAAGAAACAAGAGGAGAAGGCUGAGAAAAAGUGGUAUGCUGAUGAAUCAAAAC
This 206-nucleotide long non-coding RNA is filed under the name Medicago truncatula (barrel medic). RNAcentral's name for it is "lncRNA gene16900". The record is from RNAcentral. Lineage: Eukaryota; Viridiplantae; Streptophyta; Magnoliopsida; Fabales; Fabaceae.